This 75-nucleotide non-coding RNA is filed under the name Moorena producens 3L. Lineage: Bacteria; Bacillati; Cyanobacteriota; Cyanophyceae; Coleofasciculales; Coleofasciculaceae. The record is from RNAcentral.
AUGAGCCGUAUGAUGCGAAAGUAUCACGUACGUUUUUGAAGACGAGUCAGAGGUGACUCACUGGCUUAGUUUAAU